CCAUGUUCAGCUUCCUCAUGCUCGUACUUAGCUCGUUUCGGCAGCUUUGACGUCCAAUUAUGCUCCAAUUCUUUCCUUUUUCAUUCUUUGACUUCUUUUGGACCUAAUGCACACAAACAUACGCAUAGGGUGAGUGUUGGUACCAAUUCACAUCCAAAUAUCCAUAAAAUUGAUCUUAAAAACCCCAUUUAGAUGUGUGUAUUUU
This 205-nucleotide long non-coding RNA is filed under the name Ricinus communis (castor bean). RNAcentral's name for it is "long non-coding RNA (RCOM_LNC000432)". The record is from RNAcentral. Lineage: Eukaryota; Viridiplantae; Streptophyta; Magnoliopsida; Malpighiales; Euphorbiaceae.